Molecule: long non-coding RNA, 422 nt
Organism: Rosa chinensis
Lineage: Eukaryota; Viridiplantae; Streptophyta; Magnoliopsida; Rosales; Rosaceae
Exons: 4
Source: RefSeq, a predicted model, not a curated record
GGUAUGAAAGCAUGACACCAAAAACUCUCUUCGGCAUUUCAUCAAACGCCUUCACAAUGACCCAAAAAAGUUCGGUUGAGUAAAACUCAUUUUGGGUCUGAGAAGAUUUAAUUGAACUUAUAUUCUCAGACCCAAAUAAGGGUUUGAGAUUCUCUCAAUUGGCAAGUUCUUGGGUUUUGCUCCGAGCUGCAGUCAAAAUCAAAGUGUAUUGGUACACAGCGGCAGGGUGCAUGGUGGACAUUACUAGGCCUUUAUCAGGCCGAUGCUUUCCGAUCAUUGUAUGGAAAUGUUGUGCAAGCUCUAAGAAGAGGCGACCUCCGACUUCUUCGGCAUGCUUUUCAAGAGCAUGAAGACAGGUUCUUUAGGUUUGCUGUAUAUCUUGUCCUAGAGAAGCUAGAACUUCAGGUCUAUCAGAGAUUGUU